RNAcentral lists this long non-coding RNA (2350 nucleotides) under Homo sapiens (human). Its description in RNAcentral is "non-protein coding LINP1:6". The record is from RNAcentral. Lineage: Eukaryota; Metazoa; Chordata; Mammalia; Primates; Hominidae.
GAAUUUCCUCCCUCCGUCUCCUUGACUCUGGGUGGGCUGUGUGACUUUUCCUUGCUCAAUAGAAUGAGAAGGAGGUGGCGCACCGGCUACAAGGCUAGACCGGGGGCUCGCAUAUCUCCACUUGCAGCUGCCACUGCCAUUAGAAGAACUUGCUCAGCCAGCUCCUGGGCCCCAGGAAAAGGACAAGUGUCACCCAGAACAGAGCCACCUCCAGCUGCACUCAGCUCCAGAAGCUGGCCCAGCCGGUCCAGUACACCUUUUAAAUAAUGUCCUCUACGUGCCGGUGUGGAAGUAGCCCGGAUGCAAUUGAAUGAACAACAGACGGUGCUUUCCAGGACGGCGCUGUGCUUUCCAGGAUGGUGCUGUGCUUUCAUUCAUUUGGGUAGCUCCUCUGUGAGCCUCCCAGCGCCGACUGCAGAGCCCCCACUCUCCAGCCUGCAAGACCCCGAAAUUCAAGCCACACAAAGAAAGGAGGAGGGGGCCGUUGGCAUUUACUGAACCUUAUAAAACUGUCAGCAAAACAGCCCUUAGGCUUGGACUCCCUGCUAGCCGGGUUUUACGGUGCUGAAGUCAGCAUCUUGAUUCAGCUGCAUAAAUAAUCUCCUGCAGUCCUGCAAGGCCUGGGGUAGGAGAGGGUAUGGGGACCAGGGCACUCUGUAAGGGCUGGGAUAGGAACCCCAGGGAAUAAGACAGACCAACUGCGGGACUUCAGACUCCACUGCAGCCGGGAUCGGGUUGUUGUUAAUUUCUUAAGCAAUUUCUAAAUUCUGUAUUGACUCUCUCAUGCAUGUAACUGAUCCUUAGAUAUUGUCAGCCAAAUGACUAAAGGAUUUAGAAAUCUGAUUGACUUUUGGAAAUCUGAUUGACUGGCACACUCUCUCUGCCUCUUUCUUUCAAAACAUACCUUUAAAAAAUGACUUGCAAAAAAAUACCUCACCUCCUCUUAUUUUGGCAGUAGUGAGAGUAGUAGCCCCAAUGCCAACCAGCAUCUCGUCCCUGCCUCUACACCGUGCCCUGGCUGGGAAAAGUUCCAUCCCACACAUGAGCUGUGGGGUCUGGGCCAGGAGGAGCCAUUGCUCUCGCUUAUGAAGAAGAUAGAGCUGGAUCAGUGAAUGGUACCAGAGGCACACACCUCAGACCCCGCUCCAGUUCAGGUUCUGUUGCUCAGAUCUAUCAUUUUCUAUUUAUUCUGUGCGACGGCCCCAAGUUUAGCAAUCUAAAGCUUGCAUAGCCGGGCUCGGUGGCUCAACGCCUGUAAUCCCAGCAACUUGGGAGGCCAAGGCGGGCAGAUCACCUGAAGUCAGGAGUUUGAGACCAGCCUGGCCAACUUGAUGAAACCCCAUCUCUACUAAAAAAUACAAAAAUUAGCCGGUCAUGGUGGUGGGUACUUGUAAUCUCAGCUACUUGGGAGGCUGGAGAAUCACUUGAACCCAGAGGCGGAGGUUGCAGUGACCGGCGAUUACGCCAUUGCACUCCAGCCUGGGUGACAAGAGCGAAACUCCAUCUCAAAUAAAUAAAUGCAUAAAUAAAUAAAUAAAUAAAUAAAUAAAUAAAUAAAGCCAGCCAGCUUGCAUAAAGAAAGUCACAGUUAUAACUACAUAAAGUAACAGGUCAGCAUGCAGGGGUCCAAGAUGCAUUCUUGUUGCCGAUAGAGUUGGUUCACACAGCUGCAUGGAGGGUGCCCAGGAGGGGACGGUGGCUGCACCUCAAUCCAGCUCCCUUCAAUGGCACUGAGCCUUAGGAAUGCAGUGUGGAACAUGUAAGAAGUUUCUGCAGGUGGAGACAUGUUGUCUCUGGAAUUAAUUCAGACGAAUGCUCUGUGACUUAUUUGUUCCGACUGGGCCUUGCCAUGGCCUCUGGGCCUUUGGUCUCCAAUGUUUACUUAACUUCCUGCCUUAAGCUCAUGGCAGCCUUGACCCUACGUGGGACAUGAUUUCUAAUGUUUUCUCCCUAUCCUUUCAAGGGUAAUCGGGAUAAAAGGAGAACACCUGUGCCAUUUAGACCCAGUAAUCUCGGGGCGGGAGUGGUUACUUGGGGCAGUGGCGGGGGCCAGUCAGACACCAGGAAGGAAGGACAAGAAAAAAAAAACCUGUGACACAUGCAUAGAAAUUACUCAGGGAUCCUUCAAAGCAACACAGAAAUACAUAUAAAGUAAUCCUCUUUAAAAAGAAUCGUAACCCUGGUUCUAAACUGAAGACUUAUUCUGAAAUAUUCUGAUGUCAUAGUCUCAAAAACUGAAACUCUUGUAAUUGGAAAAUGUAAUUAUCUAGAGCUUUUGUGGCUUCUGUACAUAUCUCUCUGUUGCUAAACAGAGAAUAAUAUAAUUAAUAAAUGGUAAAAGGAAUUUUUU